GUCUGGCUUGGUAGUUCCAUUAUAACCUCAGUCAUAUGUAGUAUUUUACCUAUGUUUUGUUGCCCUUGUAGACAGACGAGCUGGUGAGUAGUUACUGUCGCUGUGGAUAUUAACAAUGCCACGGGCAUGGCC
Molecule: non-coding RNA, 132 nt
Organism: Bombyx mori (domestic silkworm)
Lineage: Eukaryota; Metazoa; Arthropoda; Insecta; Lepidoptera; Bombycidae
Source: RefSeq, marked provisional